UACAGAGGGUGCGAGCGUUAAUCGAAGUUACUGGGCGUAAAGGGCGCGUAGGCGGUGAGAUGGGAGUGAUGUGAAAGCCCUGGGCUUAACCUGGGAAGUGCAUCGCUAACUAUCUGACUGGAGUAUAGGAGAGGGUGGCGGAAUUCCGGGUGUAGUGGUGAAAUGCGUAGAUAUCCGGAGGAACACCAGUGGCGAAGGCGACUUCCUGGCCUGUUCUUGACGCUGAGGCGCGAAAGCUGGGGGAGCAAACGGG
RNAcentral lists this ribosomal RNA (253 nucleotides) under uncultured bacterium. RNAcentral describes it as "partial 16S ribosomal RNA". It matches the Rfam family "Bacterial small subunit ribosomal RNA", at positions 524 to 776 of the family's 1533-position model. The record is from RNAcentral.